UACGAAGGGGGCUAGCGUUGUUCGGAUUAACUGGGCGUAAAGGGUGCGUAGGCGGGGUUUUAAGUCAGGGGUGAAAUCCCGGGGCUCAACCCCGGAACUGCCUUUGAUACUGGGUAUCUCGAGUCCGAGAGAGGUGAGUGGAAUUCCGAGUGUAGAGGUGAAAUUCGUAGAUAUUCGGAGGAACACCAGUGGCGAAGGCGGCUCACUGGCUCGGUACUGACGCUGAGGUGCGAAAGCGUGGGGAGCAAACAGGG
This 254-nucleotide ribosomal RNA is filed under the name uncultured bacterium. RNAcentral describes it as "partial 16S ribosomal RNA". It matches the Rfam family "Bacterial small subunit ribosomal RNA", at positions 524 to 777 of the family's 1533-position model. The record is from RNAcentral.